RNAcentral lists this ribosomal RNA (741 nucleotides) under Parasterope gamurru. RNAcentral describes it as "SSU rRNA". It matches the Rfam family "Eukaryotic small subunit ribosomal RNA", at positions 1068 to 1760 of the family's 1831-position model. Lineage: Eukaryota; Metazoa; Arthropoda; Ostracoda; Myodocopida; Cylindroleberididae. The record is from RNAcentral.
CGCACAACUGGGCAGGCAGCCUCCGGGAAACCAAAGUCUUUGGGUUCCGGGGGAAGUAUGGUUGCAAAGCUGAAACUUAAAGGAAUUGACGGAAGGGCACCACCAGGAGUGGAGCCUGCGGCUUAAUUUGACUCAACACGGGAAACCUCACCAGGCCCGGACACCAAAAGGAUUGACAGAUUGAGAGCUCUUUCUUGAUUUGGUGGGUGGUGGUGCAUGGCCGUUCUUAGUUGGUGGAGCGAUUUGUCUGGUUAAUUCCGAUAACGAACGAGACUCUAGCCUGUUAACUAGCCGGUGGAUCAAUAAAUUCAUAUGCGGCGAAGCGGUGUUGUUACUCUCCGGAGUGCAUCCUGCAUAGUCGCGUCCACCGAGUCUUCUUAGAGGGACAGGCGGCGUUUAGCCGCACGAGACGGAGCAAUAACAGGUCUGUGAUGCCCUUAGAUGUCCGGGGCCGCCCCCACACUACACUGAAUGAGUCAACGUGCACUCCCAGCCCGAGAGGGCCGGGUAACCCGCUGAAAUUCCUUCGUGAUUGGGAUCGGGGUUUGCAACUAUCCCCCGUGAACGAGGAAUCCCCAGUAAGCGCGAGUCAUGAGCUCGCGUUGAUUACGUCCCUGCCCUUUGUACACACCGCCCGUCGCUACUACCGAUUGAAUGAUUUAGUGAGGUCUUUGGACUGGCUCGCCGGUGCGUGCCCCUUUGGGCAUUUGUGCCUGGUUUAUCGGGCCGGGAAAGCUGGGC